CGUGUAGGCGGCCCGUUAAGUCUGGAGUGAAAGUCCUGCUUUUAAGGUGGGAAUUGCUUUGGAUACUGAUGGGCUUGAGUGCAGGAGAGGUUAUCGGAACUCCCGGUGUAGCGGUGAAAUGCGUAGAGAUCGGGAGGAACACCAGUGGCGAAGGCGGGUAACUGGACUGCAACUGACGCUGAGGCGCGAAAGUGUGGGGAGCAAACA
RNAcentral lists this ribosomal RNA (207 nucleotides) under uncultured bacterium. RNAcentral's name for it is "partial 16S ribosomal RNA". It matches the Rfam family "Bacterial small subunit ribosomal RNA", at positions 568 to 774 of the family's 1533-position model. The record is from RNAcentral.